CCUACGGGAGGCUGCAGUGGGGAAUAUUGGACAAUGGGGGGAACCCUGAUCCAGCCAUGCCGCGUGUGUGAAGAAGGCCCUCGGGUUGUAAAGCACUUUCAGUGAGGAAGAACGCCUGGUGGUUAAUACCCAUCAGGAAAGACAUCACUCACAGAAGAAGCACCGGCUAACUCCGUGCCAGCAGCCGCGGUAAUACGGGGGGUGCGAGCGUUAAUCGGAAUUACUGGGCGUAAAGCGCGCGUAGGUGGCUUGAUAAGCCGGUUGUGAAAGCCCCGGGCUCAACCUGGGAACGGCAUCCGGAACUGUCAAGCUAGAGUGCAGGAGAGGAAGGUAGAAUUCCCGGUGUAGCGGUGAAAUGCGUAGAGAUCGGGAGGAAUACCAGUGGCGAAGGCGGCCUUCUGGACUGACACUGACACUGAGGUGCGAAAGCGUGGGUAGCAAACAGGAUUAGAUACCCCGGUAGUC
This 465-nucleotide ribosomal RNA is filed under the name Vreelandella stevensii. RNAcentral describes it as "partial 16S ribosomal RNA". It matches the Rfam family "Bacterial small subunit ribosomal RNA", at positions 338 to 795 of the family's 1533-position model. Lineage: Bacteria; Pseudomonadati; Pseudomonadota; Gammaproteobacteria; Oceanospirillales; Halomonadaceae. The record is from RNAcentral.